UAGGGAAUCUUCGGCAAUGGACGAAAGUCUGACCGAGCAACGCCGCGUGAGUGAAGAAGGUUUUCGGAUCGUAAAACUCUGUUGUUAGAGAAGAACAAGGACGUUAGUAACUGAACGUCCCCUGACGGUAUCUAACCAGAAAGCCACGGCUAACUACGUGCCAGCAGCCGCGGUAAUACGUAGGUGGCAAGCGUUGUCCGGAUUUAUUGGGCGUAAAGCGAGCGCAGGCGGUUUCUUAAGUCUGAUGUGAAAGCCCCCGGCUCAACCGGGGAGGGUCAUUGGAAACUGGGAGACUUGGGUGCAGAAGAGGAGAGUGGAAUUCCAUGUGUAGCGGUGAAAUGCGUAGAUAUAUUGAGGAACACCAGUGGCGAAGGCGGGUCUCUGGUCUGUAACUGACGCUGAGGCUCGAAAGCGUGGGGAGCAAACAGG
RNAcentral lists this ribosomal RNA (429 nucleotides) under Gemmatimonadota bacterium. RNAcentral describes it as "Gemmatimonadetes bacterium partial 16S ribosomal RNA". It matches the Rfam family "Bacterial small subunit ribosomal RNA", at positions 355 to 776 of the family's 1533-position model. The record is from RNAcentral. Lineage: Bacteria; Pseudomonadati; Gemmatimonadota.